AUUGAACAUUGUGCCCAGAAACUACCUUGCCAUUAUGAAGAGUGAAGUGGCCUCUUGAGGAAGCAAAUAUCAGGCUGGAGCCUUUUCUUAUUAUGACUGAAUUGAUGAUCCCAGAACAACAGUGUGAAAGAAAACAUGAAGUGGUGAAAAAAACGAGGAACCACUUCUUUGCUGAUGAAGAACAGAAGGAGAUUCAGUGCCCUUAGUUUUACUGAACGAUCAACAGUUAAGCAUCAAAUAAAGAUCUGGAUGGUUCUGACAAGAACUUCUUUCCUUCCAAGAAGCUGAUGACAUUAUACAUGGUAAGUCUCCUCCCUGGCCCAGCUCAGAUAUUAGCCUUCCAGAGUAAGUGAAACUAAGUGGUAACAGGCAACCCAAGAAGAGUCAGUUUUCUGUCUGGGCGGAGAUUUGA
RNAcentral lists this long non-coding RNA (412 nucleotides) under Pogona vitticeps (central bearded dragon). RNAcentral's name for it is "lncRNA (ENSPVIG00000016032.1)". Lineage: Eukaryota; Metazoa; Chordata; Lepidosauria; Squamata; Agamidae. The record is from RNAcentral.